This 253-nucleotide ribosomal RNA is filed under the name uncultured bacterium. Its description in RNAcentral is "partial 16S ribosomal RNA". It matches the Rfam family "Bacterial small subunit ribosomal RNA", at positions 524 to 776 of the family's 1533-position model. The record is from RNAcentral.
UACGUAGGGUGCAGGCGUUAAUCGGAAUUACUGGGCGUAAAGCGUGCGCAGGCGGUUUUUUAAGUCAGAUGUGAAAUCCCUGGGCUCAACCCAGGAACUGCGUCCGAUACUGGUUGGCUUGAAUCCGGGAGAGGGAUGUGGAAUUCCAGGUGUAGCGGUGAAAUGCGUAGAUAUCUGGAGGAACACCGGUGGCGAAGGCGACAUCCUGGACCGGCAUUGACGCUGAGGCGCGAAAGCCAGGGGAGCAAACGGG